UGAAUACUGUCUCCAGAGCCUGACGAUUUUCACGCGAAUUUUCCACAUUGUCUUGAAAGGUUUCAGCUGAGAAACAGAGUCGAGUUGAGCCAUUGCAAAGUUUCGAGGAAAAUCUUGGGCAAGAAGAAAAUUGAGAUCUAUUUACAUAUUGGGCUAAUCCCCGGUUUGAGGUGACUUAAUAGCAUCGUACUAUCUUCGUAAGUCAUCAUAUAAUAAAUCUGUGUUAUAAAAACAUAAUUAAUUUGAACCAAUAUUAACAAAAAUAUAUAUUAAUAAUUUGUCG
This is a long non-coding RNA of Raphanus sativus (radish), 283 nucleotides long. RefSeq lists it as uncharacterized. Lineage: Eukaryota; Viridiplantae; Streptophyta; Magnoliopsida; Brassicales; Brassicaceae. The record is from RefSeq and is a predicted model, not a curated record. The transcript has 2 exons.